GUUUUAUUAGUGGUUCGGCAUACAGAUUUACUUCUUUACCCUUCAGGUGGAGUUACUUCAAUUACCUACCUACCGCCCCAAAGAGAGAGCGGCUUCUGUAUCCAACCUCCAUGCAAAUCCUCCGCCGUCCAUUCUCCACACAUCGCACGGCAGAAUCAAUGAAUUUUUUUCCUUCCCGCACCUGACAACCCUAACCCGGCAAGUGAACGCCGCCGUAGAUUUGCUCUCCGGCAGCCGUACAGCAUCUUUCAUCACUAGCCAAACAACCACUUCCCCUGCCCCAUCACCCACCAUCCCCUUGUAUGCCUUGUUGGCCCACCUAACUCUAUUUAAACCGUCUGAUAUAAACCCUGGACAGCUGUCCCGCUCCAGAUUUAUAAGUUUUUCCUCAUCCGUACGUCCUAACCCAUACCCUUCCACCCACGCGUCUGUCACGCUUUCCACCUUUACCCAUGACCCCACUACACGUACUGGCUGAGGAAACAUCACAACUGACCGAUCCAUAGCCACUCCCUGCAACUGACCAUUAUUAUUAUUACUGUUAUCAUUAUUAUUCCCUUGGUUACCACCAAAACUCAACCAGAUCGGAGCAUUUUUUUUCAUCAUAUCAACUGAAUUAUCCUUCCUUUCAGGAAUCUCCGAUAACAACGGCAGAGUAACUGCCGUUUCUCCGCCAGACACUGAUUUUG
This 689-nucleotide unclassified non-coding RNA is filed under the name Hevea brasiliensis (rubber tree). The record is from RNAcentral. Lineage: Eukaryota; Viridiplantae; Streptophyta; Magnoliopsida; Malpighiales; Euphorbiaceae.